Molecule: ribosomal RNA, 491 nt
Filed under: uncultured bacterium
Lineage: Bacteria
Description: bacterial SSU rRNA
Rfam family: Bacterial small subunit ribosomal RNA
Source: RNAcentral
CUACGUGCCAGCAGCCGCGGUAAUACGUAGGGUGCGAGCGUUAAUCGGAAUUACUGGGCGUAAAGCGAGCGCAGACGGUUACUUAAGCAGGAUGUGAAAUCCCCGGGCUCAACCUGGGAACUGCGUUCUGAACUGGGUGACUAGAGUGUGUCAGAGGGAGGUAGAAUUCCACGUGUAGCAGUGAAAUGCGUAGAGAUGUGGAGGAAUACCGAUGGCGAAGGCAGCCUCCUGGGAUAACACUGACGUUCAUGCUCGAAAGCGUGGGUAGCAAACAGGAUUAGAUACCCUGGUAGUCCACGCCCUAAACGAUGUAUACUAGUUGUUGCUAAGCUAGUCUUGGCAGUAAUGCACCUAACGGAUUAAGUAUACCGCCUGGGGAGUACGGUCGCAAGAUUAAAACUCAAAGGAAUAGACGGGGACCCGCACAAGCGGUGGAGCAUGUGGUUUAAUUCGACGCAACGCGAGGAACCUUACCAGAUCUUGACAUCCUG